This 1357-nucleotide long non-coding RNA is filed under the name Carica papaya (papaya). RNAcentral describes it as "long non-coding RNA (CPAP_LNC016077)". The record is from RNAcentral. Lineage: Eukaryota; Viridiplantae; Streptophyta; Magnoliopsida; Brassicales; Caricaceae.
GACAUUAUUCUCUGUCGAUUCCUGUUUGAUUUAUUUUACAGUCUAAAUGCAUUAUGGUAUCUAGUUUAUCUAUUCUAUGGUUUGAAAUGCAUGUAUCACUGCUUACUUCACUAAUGUUUGAUUUUGGGAAUCUAAGAUAUGCUUGCUUUGUUGGAUGGACGUUUCUUGUUUAUAUAUUUAUGUUUGAGUUGGUAACGGAGACCAAGGACAAAUAGGAAUGGGAUGUGAUUUGAUAAAUGGAUAAGAUGAUAGCCUCACUAGAUAUCCUGCGAGAUGGUGGACGAAUCGGGUUCAUAGGGAACCCUACCUUGAACGUCGUCUCAUACCGGACGGGGUAUGGAGACUUGGUCAUUUGGCACUCAUACUAGACAGGGUAUGGGGACGACCCGCUUCAGCCUCAUACCGGACGAAGUAUUGAGGUUUAUUAUUUUGGCGCUCAUUCCGAACGGGGUAUGGGGAUGACCCUGGAAUUAAGAUUGUUAAGAAAAAUGGUUCACAUGUAGCGGGGACCCCUAUGGAUCCCCAUAGAUACUAGUAUGCUGGUGAAAACGAGAAAUGGUGAUAAUCAGUUAUUGUUAAUGAAUACAGAUUUAUGAUGUGUUUUAUGUUACUGAUUAUUCAUGAAAUUAUGAUCUGUAUGAUGUUAUUGUCUUUAUAGGUUGUUUUCACAGGUGCUCCAAGGGUAAAAAAAAGGGUAAGUGGUUUUAUUUUAAAUAAUUGAAUUGGUUUAAAAUUUGUGCUCCAUUGGUUGUUUUCGGUUUUCUACUAAUUUUUACUUCUGUGACGAUGAUAUAGUGUGAUGUCCUUACUGGGCUAGUGUAGCUCAUUCCUUAUUUAACCAUUUUAGAUCAGGAGGACCUAGUUCCCGAGCCUAAUCCACAAGAAGACGGCGAGUAGAUGCUAGAUGCUUUAUAGUUUCCUUUAUUUUUCUCAUUUCUCGUAUUUCUUUUAGAGAACUUAUUCCGUGGUAUUGUUUAGUACUUUUAAGUUGUUGUGUAAGGGAUGUUAACCUUAAUCUUUGAUUUCGCUUCCGCACUCAGAUUAUUAUAUGUAUUUUCUUUUGAAUUUCCGGGGCCGUUAAACUCCACCUUCGUAGUUGAAUCUGAAAUCAUCUUAUCAGACAUGACUAAAUCUUUAUAUGUGGACAUAAUAUAUAUCUCGAUAUAGAUCUAGGUAGUUAUUAACCACGUUUGACUAGUUAAUGGGUUUUAAUUAUUUGGUCCUCUUCUCUUAAUUUGCAGUGACAAAGGAUCUGAUGCUGAUUUUCCUGAAAUUUAUGAACUUUGCUUCAAGAUUAAAGGAGCCUCCUUAAGGUUUAUAAUUAAUACUAAUAAUCAUAGCUCAAAACUCUUUAAUU